ACUCUUUCAAUUCGGCGAAACAGCCCCUAUAUAAGAGCUGCUGGCUUCGGCCAGCUAUGGCGAUAAACGGACGAUGUAAUAAGCUUAUUGGACCCGGGGGCGGUACCCGGCGCCUCCACCACAACGCAGCAGGUUUCGCUGCGUUGUGGCGGGGGCGAAAUAGGAUCGACAAGAGUGUAAAGAUCGAACUUUUGCCCGGCAUUGUACCACCGUUAUCGGGCUAACCUAGUAGUUGCAAACGACAACUAUGCGGAAGCACGUCUCGCCGCUUAAUGCGGUGCGAUAGCUUCAAAUCAAGUCCUAGGGGUUCGCACUUCUAGGCGGGGUUCGGAGGCACCUGGCAACAGAAGCCUUCACU
This 358-nucleotide transfer-messenger RNA is filed under the name Phyllobacterium zundukense. It matches the Rfam family "Alphaproteobacteria transfer-messenger RNA". From Rfam's summary of the family: Bacterial tmRNA, also known as 10Sa RNA or SsrA, is named for its dual tRNA and mRNA-like properties. Its role is to liberate the mRNA from a stalled ribosome. The record is from RNAcentral. Lineage: Bacteria; Pseudomonadati; Pseudomonadota; Alphaproteobacteria; Hyphomicrobiales; Phyllobacteriaceae.